UUUAGAGUUUGAUCCUAGCUCAGGAUGAACGCUGGCGACGUGGAUAAGGCAUGCAAGUCGAAUGGGUUUAGACCCAUGGCAGACGAGGUAGUAACACGUAGGUAACGUACCCCGAAGUCGGAGAUAAUCAGUCGAAAGGCUGGAUAAUACCCGAUGGUCCGAGCAUUGUGAGAAUUUUUAAAAGACGGGAAGUCGGGUUUCCAUUGGAAACCCGACUUCCAAAAGUCUUUUAAAAAUUCUCAUAGUGCUCGGUAAAGAUUUAUCGCUUUGGGAACGGCCUGCGGAGUAUCAGCUUGUUGGUAGUGUAAUGGACUACCAAGGCUAUGACGCUUAGGGGAGGUGAGAGCCUGACCCCCACCGAUGGAACUGAGACACGGUCCAUACACCUACGGGUGGCCGCAGUCGAGAAUCUUCCGCAAUGGACGAAAGUCUGACGGAGCGACGUCGCGUGAUUGAUGAAGCCCUUCGGGGUGUAAAAAUCUUUUAUAGGUGAGGAAGUUUAUUGACGUUAGCCUAUGAAUAAGGGGUUGCUAAACUCGUGCCAGCAGCAGCGGUAAAACGAGUGCCCCGAGCGUUAUCCGGAAUUAUUGGGCGUAAAGGGUGCGUAGGUGGUUUUAUUAGUCUUUUGUUAAAGACUCUGGCUCAACCGGAGGAAUGCAAAAGAAACGGUAAAACUAGAGGAUGUGAGGGGUGUACGGAACUCAUAGUGUAGGGGUGAAAUCCGUUGAUAUUAUGGGGAACACCAAAAGCGAAGGCAGUACACUGGCACAUUUCUGACACUGAGGCACGAAAGCGUGGGUAGCGAAUGGGAUUAGAUACCCCAGUAGUCCACGCCCUAAACGAUGAUAACUAGCUUUUCGGAGUAUCGACCCUCUGAGAGGCGCAGCUAACGCGUUAAGUUAUCCGCCUGGGGAGUACGAGCGCAAGCUUAAAACUCAAAGGAAUAGACGGGGACUCGCACAAGCGGUGGAUCAUGUGGCUUAAUUCGACGAUAAACGAAGAACCUUACCAGGGCUUGAAACUUUGCUGAAAAUUUUAGGAAACUAGAACCUUCUUCGGACAGCAAAGCAGGUGAUGCAUGGCCGUCGUCAGUUCGUGGCUUGAGUUGUUCCCUUAAGUGGGGUAACGAACGCAACCCUCGUCUGUCUGUUAUACGUGUCAGGCGAGACUGCCCAGCCCUUUGUGAAUUUUUGAAGAGACUGGAAGUCGGGUUUCCAAUGGAAACCCGACUUCCAAAAGUCUCUUCAAGAAAAAUUCUCAAAGGGCUGGGAGGAAGGAGGGGAUGACGCCAGGUCAGCAUGUCCCUUUGAUGCCCUGGGCUGCACACAUGAUACAAUGGUCACUACAACAGGUUGCGACGGGGAGACCCUGAGCUAAUCCUCUAAAGGUGGCCCCAGUUCGGAUUGAGGUCUGCAACUCGACCUCAUGAAGUUGGAAUCGCUAGUAAUCGCGGAUCAGAUAUGCCGCGGUGAAUACGUUCUCGAGUCUUGUACUC
Molecule: ribosomal RNA, 1495 nt
Filed under: Candidatus Yonathbacteria bacterium
Lineage: Bacteria; Candidatus Yonathiibacteriota
Description: bacterial SSU rRNA
Rfam family: Bacterial small subunit ribosomal RNA
Source: RNAcentral